This 434-nucleotide ribosomal RNA is filed under the name uncultured bacterium. Its description in RNAcentral is "bacterial SSU rRNA". It matches the Rfam family "Bacterial small subunit ribosomal RNA", at positions 355 to 786 of the family's 1533-position model. The record is from RNAcentral.
UGAGGAAUAUUGGUCAAUGGGCGAGAGCCUGAACCAGCCAAGUCGCGUGAGGGAAGACGGUCCUACGGAUUGUAAACCUCUUUUGUCGGGGAGCAAUAAAGCGUACGCGUACGCAGAUGCGAGUACCCGAAGAAAAAGCAUCGGCUAGCUCCGUGCCAGCAGCCGCGGUAAUACGGAGGAUGCGAGCGUUAUCCGGAUUUAUUGGGUUUAAAGGGUGCGCAGGCGGAAAGUGCAAGUCAGCGGUCAAACGACGGGGCUCAACCCCGUCUCGCCGUUGAAACUGUCUUUCUAGAGUGAGCGAGAAGUAUGCGGAAUGCGUGGUGUAGCGGUGAAAUGCAUAGAUAUCACGCAGAACUCCGAUUGCGAAGGCAGCAUACCAGCGCUCAACUGACGCUCAUGCACGAAAGCGUGGGUAUCGAACAGGAUUAGAUACC